AAACUAACAAGGAUUCCCCUAGUAACGGCGAGUGAAGCGGGAAGAGCUCAAAUUUGAAAUCUGGCAGUCUUCGAUUGUCCGAGUUGUAAUCUAUAGAGGCGUUUUCCGUGCCGGACCGUGUCCAAGUCUCCUGGAAAGGAGUAUCAAAGAGGGUGAUAAUCCCGUACUUAACACGACCACCGGUGCUCUGUGAUACGUCUUCUACGAGUCGAGUUGUUUGGGAAUGCAGCUCAAAAUGGGUGGUGAAUUCCAUCUAAAGCUAAAUAUUGGCGAGAGACCGAUAGCGAACAAGUACCGUGAGGGAAAGAUGAAAAGCACUUUGGAAAGAGAGUUAAACAGUACGUGAAAUUGUUGAAAGGGAAACGAUUGAAGUCAGUCGUGUUCUUUGGAUUCAGCCAGUUCUGCUGGUCUACUUCCUUGGAACGGGUCAACAUCAGUUUUGUCCGGUGGAUAAAGGUAGUAGGAAUGUGACUUCUCCGGAAGUGUUAUAGCCUAUUAUCACAUACACUGGGUGAGACUGAGGACUGCAGCUCGCCUUUAUGGCCGGCCUUCGGGCACGUUCGAGCUUAGGAUGUUGACAUAAUGGCUUUAAACGACCC
Molecule: ribosomal RNA, 599 nt
Filed under: Trichosporon asahii
Lineage: Eukaryota; Fungi; Basidiomycota; Tremellomycetes; Trichosporonales; Trichosporonaceae
Description: partial large subunit ribosomal RNA
Rfam family: Eukaryotic large subunit ribosomal RNA
Source: RNAcentral